Molecule: long non-coding RNA, 1005 nt
Organism: Lolium perenne
Lineage: Eukaryota; Viridiplantae; Streptophyta; Magnoliopsida; Poales; Poaceae
Source: RefSeq, a predicted model, not a curated record
AGAGGGCUAGAGGCCCAGUCCGUCUAGUGUCUUCUACUGUCGGAACUCAGAGCAUCAGCUAGGUACAGCAAUGGCGAAGGGGAUAAAAUUGCUACGAUGCCUUCGGCCGCUCACCCCCCACCCCAGGCCGGAGACGUGUAGUUCGGCCGGCAUAUCCCGGCGGCAGCGCAAGCGGCAGCUCGUAGCUGGAGGUGGCUGACCCGGAUGCUGCAGGCCCGCGUGUAAUUUCUGUGUGGCCUGCGUUUCGGGCCGUCGACCACGACCGCAGCGGCAGCAUCGACGAGCAGAAGCUACAGGACGUGUUCGGGGCCAUCGGCUGCGGCCGCAUCGGCAACAUCAACGAGUGGGAGCGGCAUGACGAACGGGGGGCGCAGGACGCCGGACGCGUUCCAGACCGUCAACCGCGACGUCAGCGGCAACAUCGACGAGCGAGAGCUGUAGGACGAACGGGAGCUUCAGGACGCGUCACAGAUGGGAGGAGUCCAAAUAGGAGAUCAUUUGCAUCUUUUGCAGAACAGCAUACACCUUCGAUGAGCGGCAGAAGAAUGAGAGGGGGAUGCUAGGAAAUCGAGUCCAAAAGGGAGAUCAUGGGCGUAUACCUUGGACGAGCGGGAGAAGCAGGCGGAGCAAUGGAGGUCAAACAGAUCGCUCUUUGGCGUUCUACAAUCUGUGAUCUGUGCGUCCUGUUUGGCGCCAAUUCUUUAGGCUUAGGAGAUUUUCCCUCCACGGGAGUAUUAAUAUGUAGUUUGUUUCCAAAUUACCAGCGCAGUUUGAGGGGAGGAAAGAGAGCCAUCGAGUGAUUUUUUUCAGGAAAACACUUCGGGUAACCAUACCCAUACGAUUAGAACGAAGGACGGAUUCUAAUAGCUAAAGCACAUGUGCUGUGACAACUCAACUGUAGAGGAGCCGAGCCCUAGUUUGUGUCAACACUUGGAUUAGAUUUUAUACAAUGUAAACGAAUAUUGAUAGCUGUGUCAUAUGAUUUGAAAAGUUUGACAAAUUUUU